GUGCAGAACUUAUCCAGCGAGGUCCAUCCUGCAGUGGUUGUGUCCUUUCCUGUAGUGUCUGCUAGAGAGACGAGAGGCCGUUUGAGGCCCUGCGGUGGCUCCGCGCCGCAGGGUUAUAGGUAGACCUCCGACAACC
Small nucleolar RNA from Cyclopterus lumpus (lumpfish), 136 nucleotides. Lineage: Eukaryota; Metazoa; Chordata; Actinopteri; Perciformes; Cyclopteridae. The record is from Ensembl.